ACCGCGAACAAACAACAAGUUUCCAUUGCCUAAGUCAAUUGUAAUUCAGUGCGUCAAGGAUUAAAAAUGUGCAUAAGAACACCGUGUGUGUACUCACUAACCCUUUCAUAUUAGAGUUGUACGCCCUCCUGCCAAACAUACAUAUUCCUUGUGUACAAUGUGUCUCUUAGUGGGUACAACAACGUUUUAUUUUACAGAUGUGUUAUAACUCCGAUCUCAAACUAAAUCGACGUUCUCCCACGUAACUGUACAGGUCUACAUACGGAUAACUUGGAACUGUAUGUGUAACGUGUCACUCAUUCUCUUCCAUGGAUAAAACUGUCUGCUGGUGGAAGAAAGAGAACCAAUAAGUAAAGAGUAGCAGUGUGUACCACUUCAGACAUUCUUCAGGAACUAACAGCUGAUGCAAAACAAUAAGAGUUCUUUGCAACAGACAUGAAUCAGCACAUUUCUAACCAAAUAAAAUGACAUUUAAGGCGUGACUGAAGAUUUACAUACCUGGUUUAAAUUAAUUAUUGUACAUCUUCCUGUAAUCUGGUAGUAGGAUUAUCAAACUUCUCUCAUGCUAAUAGGAUAUGUUCUAGCAAGAUAAGAACAAUAGUGCUAAGAACCUGCAUUACUAAUUCAUAGCUGACAGCAUUAGUGCCACUUGAAGCCUGUUUUUGUGCAUUAUGAAAAGGAAUUUGUGUGGUUCAGUAACACAGUAUUGUUUGGGCUGUUUCUGGUAGCAUUAUUAACAGAAAUUACAAACGGUUUGAUACCACCAACUACCAAUAGAA
This is a long non-coding RNA of Cryptotermes secundus, 779 nucleotides long. RefSeq lists it as uncharacterized. The transcript has 3 exons. NCBI's taxonomy places the organism in Eukaryota, Metazoa, Arthropoda, Insecta, Blattodea, Kalotermitidae. The record is from RefSeq and is a predicted model, not a curated record.